Triticum aestivum (bread wheat) is the source of this 145-nucleotide non-coding RNA. Lineage: Eukaryota; Viridiplantae; Streptophyta; Magnoliopsida; Poales; Poaceae. The record is from Rfam.
AGAAUUGAUGACGAUGAUCAGGUGUCUCAUUUGUUGGCUGGGCUUCACCUGGAAUAUAACCCUCUGGUGGCUUCGGUGCUGGGGAGAUCAGCAAGAGAUCCGGUCUCCCUCAAUGAUUUGUACGCCCAACUACUCAGUUUUGACA